GGCCAGAGUGCCCAACACUGAUGGCAGGAACCUAAGUGAAAAUUCAGCUCCUUGGAAAGGGCUGGACUUCUCUGAAGACAUUAUUUGAAGAGUUAAAAACAUGAAUUUGGAAAAGCUAAGAGGGCAAGCUGCAACACAGGAAUAUUGUAACAAGAAAUAUUUAAUUUCAACCUUUGGUGCUG
Passer domesticus (house sparrow) is the source of this 182-nucleotide long non-coding RNA. RefSeq lists it as uncharacterized. NCBI's taxonomy places the organism in Eukaryota, Metazoa, Chordata, Aves, Passeriformes, Passeridae. The record is from RefSeq and is a predicted model, not a curated record. The transcript has 3 exons.